Falco peregrinus (peregrine falcon) is the source of this 1694-nucleotide long non-coding RNA. RefSeq lists it as uncharacterized. The record is from RefSeq and is a predicted model, not a curated record. NCBI's taxonomy places the organism in Eukaryota, Metazoa, Chordata, Aves, Falconiformes, Falconidae. The transcript is spliced from 3 exons.
GCCGCGCCGCCGGCCGCCCGCGCUGCCUGGGCGCUGACCGGAGCGGGAGGGCGUGCGGGCCGCGGGGCCGGCGCUCGGUGGCCCCGGGCGCUCCCGGGUCGUGCCGCCUUCCGUCAGGACGCGGGCUUGGCGACCGGUUCGUGUAUGCAUUAACAGCCGUCGUUUAAUAUCAAGGAACUUGCUCCACUCUGUGAAGGACGCGGAGCGCCAGCUGGGGAGGUAACCACUCAAUACAGCUUUUAAUCAGCCUUCACGGUAUUGCCCUGGGCAUUAUUCACCAUAUGCCACUUAAACACCACAUAGAAUGGAGUUAUUAACUUCCAGGAUGCUAGAAAAUGGAGACGCAUGGACGGUGGGGAAGGAAGAAACUACUUGAAGGCUAACACAUUCAUGGUUGAGGCAGAUCUACCAAGGUAAUCAUUCAUCAGUUCCUUGGCUUCUCUUCCUGUGGACAGAACAUUUUUUGCUCUCUAACAGAACAUAGAAUUUUAUUUGAUUAUUUAAAUCUUUGAGGUAAUGUAUCUUUUCUGUUGUCAGGAGACUGCAAAGGACCUUUUUUGAGGCCCAAAAAAGUGAUGAGAUUGCUGGUAGUGUCUCGGUUAUGAUACGGGUAUUUAAGGUGGAAUUUAUCAGACUGAACGUUGGUGACUGCUACGUAGAUGUCAACAUCUGGGCAAGUCAUCCCAUACUAAUUGCAUAGUCUUUGGAGAGCUUGUCAAUAUGUCUGUGGAUGCAAUUUUCAGACCUUCAAGGCCGGAAAGAUGAACUGGCGGCUAAACCUCACUGGGUACAGAGGGAGCCAAACCAUCUAUCUUGGGUAUAGACACCUAAAUUUAGAUUGGAUAAAUAGCACUCCUAGUCUAAAGAAGAGAUUCAAAAGGAGUUGAACCAAACAUGACUGUAAGGAAAGCAAGACUUCAUGUGAGUUUGGGGCUUUUCCCUGUAUGAUAUUUAAGUAUAAAUUGUUGAAAUGCCCCAAAAAGUCAAAUCUAGACUGUUUCACAAAAUUUUCUACAGGGUUUCAGUGUGUGGCUUUACAAACCUUUUAUUCCAUAAAUAAUAAUGAUUUGUAAUACAGUCUUAAAUGCUCUGUAAAGGAACUUAAAAUCCCUGUAAAUGUUGGCUCCAGAUUCUAUUAGCAGGCAAGGUCCUAUUUGAAUUAUUCUUCUUGGGUAUUUGUUACUUGAGGAAAAUCCCAGUGUAAUGGGCUUCACAGAGUUUGUAGUCGAACUCCAUCGCUUCUCUGUCUCAGCCUUCUAUGUCAUACUAUACAUUGAAUUUAAUCUAGUUAAUUUUGCGUUGAGUCUGAUAACCUAUGUUUGACUAAAGUAUUUCUCAGUAAUGUAUCUAAAAUAAACACAUCACUUUUCAGUCUUCUCUUUCAUUUAUUAAAUAAAGUGAACAUCUUAAAAUGGCUUGUUUUCUGUUUCCCCCUACCCUUUAGACUGUAUUUGUGGACCUUUUUUGUUCCAGCUUUUCAAAACUAACUUAAAAAUCUGAUUAUCAAACUGAACACUUCGUUUUACUUUCAGGUUCACUAUCGCUGUACACACAAAUAUAUCACCAAAAUUAUAGUGCUAUUCCAAGGUCUAUAAACUUUAUCUGAGUAGGUUUGACACUUCCUGAGCCAGUUUCCGUGGCACUCGUGAGUGAAAAUUAUCUGGAAUGGCUGAUUGCAAGAAGGGCGUUCCUAA